UGGGGAAUUUUGCGCAAUGGGGGAAACCCUGACGCAGCAACGCCGCGUGCGGGACGACGGCCCUCGGGUUGUAAACCGCUUUCAGUGGGGACGAUGGUGACGGUACCCACAGAAGAAGCUCCGGCUAACUACGUGCCAGCAGCCGCGGUAAUACGUAGGGAGCGAGCGUUAUCCGGAUUCAUUGGGCGUAAAGCGCGCGUAGGCGGCUGCCUAAGCGGAACCUCUAAUCCCGGGGCUCAACCUCGGGCCGGGUUCCGAACUGGGCGGCUCGAGUGCGGUAGAG
This 283-nucleotide ribosomal RNA is filed under the name uncultured Parvibacter sp. RNAcentral describes it as "partial 16S ribosomal RNA". It matches the Rfam family "Bacterial small subunit ribosomal RNA", at positions 355 to 656 of the family's 1533-position model. Lineage: Bacteria; Bacillati; Actinomycetota; Coriobacteriia; Coriobacteriales; Coriobacteriaceae. The record is from RNAcentral.